RNAcentral lists this ribosomal RNA (429 nucleotides) under Actinomycetes bacterium. RNAcentral's name for it is "Actinobacteria bacterium partial 16S ribosomal RNA". It matches the Rfam family "Bacterial small subunit ribosomal RNA", at positions 355 to 776 of the family's 1533-position model. The record is from RNAcentral. Lineage: Bacteria; Bacillati; Actinomycetota; Actinomycetes.
UAGGGAAUCUUCCGCAAUGGGCGAAAGCCUGACGGGGCAACGCCGCGUGAGUGAUGAAGGUCUUCGGAUCGUAAAACUCUGUUAUUAGGGAAGAACAAAUGUGUAAGUAACUAUGCACGUCUUGACGGUACCUAAUCAGAAAGCAACGGCUAACUACGUGCCAGCAGCCGCGGUAAUACGUAGGUGGCAAGCGUUAUCCGGAAUUAUUGGGCGUAAAGCGCGCGUAGGCGGUUUUUUAAGUCAGCUGUGAAAGCCCACGGCUCAACCGUGGAGGGUCAUUGGAAACUGGAAAGCUUGAGUGCAGAAGAGGAAAGUGGAAUUCCAUGUGUAGCGGUGAAAUGCGCAGAGAUAUGGAGGAACACCAGUGGCGAAGGCUACUUUCUGGUCUGUAACUGACGCUGAUGUGCGAAAGCGUGGGGAUCAAACAGG